UUCCGGUUGAUCCCGCCGGACCUGACUGCUAUCGGAUUGAUACUAAGCCAUGCGAGUCUUUGCAGUAAUGCAAGGCAUACGGCUCAGUAACACGUAGUCAACUUACCCUAUGGACGAGGAUAAUCUCGGGAAACUGAGCAUAAUACUCGAUAGAUCAUAAUGCCUGGAAUGGUUUAUGGUUAAAAUGAUUCGUCGCCAUAGGAUGGGACUGCGGCCUAUCAGCUUGUUGGUGAGGUAAUGGCCCACCAAGGCGAUUACAGGUACGGGCUCUGAGAGGAGAAGCCCGGAGAUGGGUACUGAGACAAGGACCCAGGCCCUAUGGGGCGCAGCAGGCGAGAAAACUUUGCAAUGUGCGAAAGCACGACAAGGUUAAUCCGAGUGAUUUCUGCUAAAGAAAUCUUUUGCAAGUCAUAAAACCACUAGUGAAUAAGGGGUGGGCAAGUUCUGGUGUCAGCCGCCGCGGUAAAACCAGCACCUCAAGUGGUCAGGAGGAUUAUUGGGCCUAAAGCAUCCGUAGCCGGCUCUGUAAGUUUCCGGUUAAAUCCAUGUGCUCAACGCAUGGGCUGCCGAAAAUACUGCAUAGCUAGGGAGUGGGAGAGGUAGACGGUACUCAGUAGGAAGGGGUAAAAUCCUUUGAUCUAUUGAUGACCACCUGUGGCGAAGGCGGUCUACCAGAACACGUUCGACGGUGAGGGAUGAAAGCUGGGGGAGCAAACCGGAUUAGAUACCCGGGUAGUCCCAGCUGUAAACGAUGCAGACUCGAUGAUGCAUUGGCAUAUAGCCAGUGCAGUGUCGCAGGGAAGCCGUUAAGUCUGCCGCCUGGGAAGUACGUACGCAAGUAUGAAACUUAAAGGAAUUGGCGGGGGAGCACCACAAGGGGUGAAGCCUGCGGUUCAAUUGGAAUCAACGCCGG
This 913-nucleotide ribosomal RNA is filed under the name uncultured archaeon. RNAcentral describes it as "bacterial SSU rRNA". It matches the Rfam family "Archaeal small subunit ribosomal RNA", at positions 1 to 921 of the family's 1478-position model. The record is from RNAcentral.